AUUGAACGCUGGCGGCAUGCCUUACACAUGCAAGUCGAACGGUAACAGGUCUUCGGAUGCUGACGAGUGGCGAACGGGUGAGUGAUACAUCGGAACGUGCCUAGUAGUGGGGGAUAACUACUCGAAAGAGUGGCUAAUACCGCAUGAGAUCUACGGAUGAAAGCAGGGGAUCGCAAGACCUUGUGCUACUAGAGCGGCCGAUGGCAGAUUAGGUAGUUGGUGGGAUAAAAGCUUACCAAGCCGACGAUCUGUAGCUGGUCUGAGAGGACGAUCGGCCACACUGGGACUGAGAAACGGCCCAGACUCCUACGGGAGGCAGCAGUGGGGAAUUUUGGACAAUGGGCGAAAGCCUGAUCCAGCAAUGCCGCGUGCAGGAUGAAGGCCUUCGGGUUGUAAACUGCUUUUGUACGGAACGAAAAGCCCCGGGUUAAUACCCUGGGGUCAUGACGGUACCGUAAGAAUAAGCACCGGCUAACUACGUGCCAGCCGCCGCCGUAA
Molecule: ribosomal RNA, 498 nt
Filed under: uncultured bacterium
Lineage: Bacteria
Description: partial 16S ribosomal RNA
Rfam family: Bacterial small subunit ribosomal RNA
Source: RNAcentral